This 207-nucleotide ribosomal RNA is filed under the name uncultured bacterium. RNAcentral's name for it is "partial 16S ribosomal RNA". It matches the Rfam family "Bacterial small subunit ribosomal RNA", at positions 1284 to 1500 of the family's 1533-position model. The record is from RNAcentral.
CGUCCCAGUCCGGAUUGCAGUCUGCAACUCGACUGCAUGAAGUCGGAAUCGCUAGUAAUUCUGGAUCAGCAUGCCAGGGUGAAUGCGUUCCCGGGUCUUGUACACACCGCCCGUCACACCAUGGAAGUUGGGGGCGCCCGAAGUUGGUCGAGGAAUAGAUUACCUAAGGCGAAACCAAUGACUGGGGUGAAGUCGUAACAAGGUAGC